AAUAAAUACAGUUUUGCACUAUUCAUGUUUAACAUUUGAUCGUUCGUCUUAUUUGAAAAUUUUUUAUGAUUAGUAUUUUUUAUGUGUGACUAAAUAUUUUUAAAUUUUUCAUAAAAUUUUCAAAUAAGACGGACGGUGAAACGUUGGACACGGAUAUCCACGACUACACUAAUG
Oryza barthii is the source of this 174-nucleotide non-coding RNA. The record is from Rfam. NCBI's taxonomy places the organism in Eukaryota, Viridiplantae, Streptophyta, Magnoliopsida, Poales, Poaceae.